This is a long non-coding RNA of Mesocricetus auratus (golden hamster), 1040 nucleotides long. RefSeq lists it as uncharacterized. The record is from RefSeq and is a predicted model, not a curated record. Lineage: Eukaryota; Metazoa; Chordata; Mammalia; Rodentia; Cricetidae. The transcript is spliced from 4 exons.
UGUGAGCUUGAGCUGUAGAGACAGAAAGGCAGGCGUUUCUGUCAAAGGAGAAGCUUCCAAAUUUGAGAUGAGCUGGGACCCUCAGAGCCUGUUCCUCCUCCCUGGCACAUUCCAGAAUGAAAGCAACAAGAGAGGCCUGGAGGGGAGCUGAUUCCGUGACUUCACAGGGACAGCAUCUUCUUCCUGGAGGAGGGCCCUAAUAAAGCUCUUUAAUAUUCUCGACAAUUCUAAUCAUCCAGAUAUUCCAGGAUCCCAAGGAAUUUGAAACCUGGGUAUGUUCUCCUCAUACCCAGAGCCAAAUGUGAACAAUUCCAGCUCCCGUAUAUCUAUCUCACCAGACAAGUGCAACUGAGAACAAAGCUACCUUUUACAGCUGCUGGUUUGGACCGUCGACUAUCUCCCCUACGUUCAGCAUCCACUAUUCAUGAACAGCGACAGCAAAAAGAGCAAGCACACUUUCUCUGAAGCAGACCCUGGACCAAUCAUGAGGAGACUCAGAUGCUGAACACAACAAAACCAAACCCAGCCAAACCAUGGGAGCACAAAGAAUCUCCAUGAAAUGUGUGAACAGUUCACAGCUACCCACUGAAUCACGGUGGUCAGGUGACUGUGCCAUGGAACCACAGACUGGAAGCUCUUAAAGGCUUUGCCUGCAGAUGGAGGGGAAACCGUGGGUCGUGAUUGUUUAGCUAGAUAUAAACAGCGAUGAUAAGCCCUGACUGGUAAAUUCUGGACAAGGGCCAAUGGAUUCAUUGGAGCCUAAUUCAAGCAUUUUGGUAGCUUGAUGAUCAUUGCUUCCCCUCCCUUCUGGGUUCGUAAUAAACCAACUGCAUAUAAAACUAGGUUGCUUCUUUCCAGCUUCUAGUAAUCCCUAUGCUUUUACAUGACACAGAAAAGCUUUGAGUUCAAAUCCCACCUCUGAUACCAACCCCGCCUCCGUCACUGUGGACAAGCACUAGCCUCUCUAAGCCUGAACUUUCUUGGUGGUGAAAUGAGGAAGUCGGACAAAGAUGCGUUUUCCUUCAUCAGUUUUGAUUGCA